Molecule: ribosomal RNA, 521 nt
Filed under: Clostridioides difficile
Lineage: Bacteria; Bacillati; Bacillota; Clostridia; Peptostreptococcales; Peptostreptococcaceae
Description: bacterial SSU rRNA
Rfam family: Bacterial small subunit ribosomal RNA
Source: RNAcentral
UUCGGGGACAUUGGUGACAGGUGGUGCAUGGUUGUCGUCAGCUCGUGUCGUGAGAUGUUGGGUUAAGUCCCGCAACGAGCGCAACCCUUGUCUUUAGUUGCCAUCAUUAAGUUGGGCACUCUAGAGAGACUGCCAGGGAUAACCUGGAGGAAGGUGGGGAUGACGUCAAAUCAUCAUGCCCCUUAUGCUUAGGGCUACACACGUGCUACAAUGGGUAGUACAGAGGGUUGCCAAGCCGUAAGGUGGAGCUAAUCCCUUAAAGCUACUCUCAGUUCGGAUUGUAGGCUGAAACUCGCCUACAUGAAGCUGGAGUUACUAGUAAUCGCAGAUCAGAAUGCUGCGGUGAAUGCGUUCCCGGGUCUUGUACACACCGCCCGUCACACCACGGGAGUUGGAGACGCCCGAAGCCGAUUAUCUAACCUUUUGGAAGAAGGCGUCGAAGGUGGAAUCAAUAACUGGGGCUAAGUCGUAACAAGGUAGCCGUAUCGGAAGGUGCGGCUGGAUCACCUCCUUUCUAAGGA